RNAcentral lists this ribosomal RNA (468 nucleotides) under uncultured bacterium. RNAcentral describes it as "partial 16S ribosomal RNA". It matches the Rfam family "Bacterial small subunit ribosomal RNA", at positions 28 to 507 of the family's 1533-position model. The record is from RNAcentral.
GACGAACGCUGGCGGCGUGCUUAACACAUGCAAGUCGAACGGAAAGGCCCUGCUUUUGUGGGGUGCUCGAGUGGCGAACGGGUGAGUAACACGUGAGUAACCUGCCCUUGACUUUGGGAUAACUUAAGGAAACGGGGCUUAAUCCCGGAUAGGAGCCCCCCUUGCAGGGUGGGGGUGGGAAAGUUUCGGCGGUUGGGGAUGGACUCGCGGCUUAUCAGCUUGUUGGUGGGGUAGUGGCUUACCAAGGCUUUGACGGGUAGCCGGCCUGAGAGGGUGACCGGCCACAUUGGGACUGAGAUACGGCCCAGACUCCUACGGGAGGCAGCAGUGGGGAAUAUUGCACAAUGGGCGGAAGCCUGAUGCAGCAACGCCGCGUGCGGGAUGACGGCCUUCGGGUUGUAAACCGCUUUCGCCUGUGACGAAGCGUGAGUGACGGUAAUGGGUAAAGAAGCACCGGCUAACUACGUG